RNAcentral lists this long non-coding RNA (1094 nucleotides) under Ananas comosus (pineapple). RNAcentral describes it as "long non-coding RNA (ACOM_LNC038564)". The record is from RNAcentral. Lineage: Eukaryota; Viridiplantae; Streptophyta; Magnoliopsida; Poales; Bromeliaceae.
GUCCGGCUUCGAUACUACCUGUAGCACGGGGCCUCCCGUGCUACCAAGUUGUUUUUGAUGAUGCGGCUUCCAAAUCGACGAUCGGCUCCGUUAGACUUGAUCUAUACUAUUAAAAGUAUUUGGAAACUAAAUUUUAUAAUUUUUCGACAUCAUUUGACUAGUGAUCAACAGAUCUCAAAAUUGACAAUUUUAAUGGCUGAUGUGGUGUGUUUGUGAGUUUAACAGUGUAAAACAAUUCAAAUCCGAUGAAAAUUUUAUAGAAAAUUUUUUUCACUAUUUAGAGUAAGAUCAGUAUAUCUGAUCUUGAAUUUAAAUCUUUUAUCAUCAUUUUUUAUGAGAUUUUUAUUUUUAGCCGUUCAAUUUUAGACUAUUUGUUUUAUAAGUAAAUGAUAUCGAAAAAUUAUAAAAUUUAGUUUCCAAAUACUUUUAAUAGUGUAGAUCAAUUCUAACGGAGCCGAUCAUCGAUUUGGAAGCCGCAUCAUCGAAAACAACUUGGUAGCACGGGAGGCCCCGUGCUACCGAUAGUAUAACAGCUGGACUAUAUAUAUAUAUAUAUAUAUAUAUAUAUAUAGUCCAGCUGUUAUACUAUCGGUAGCACGGGGCCUCCCGUGCUACCAAGUUGUUUUCGAUGAUGCGGCUUCCAAAUCGAUGAUCGGCUCCGUUAGAAUUGAUCUACACUAUUAAAAGUAUUUGGAAACUAAAUUUUAUAAUUUUUCGAUAUCAUUUACUUAUAAAACAAAUAGUCUAAAAUUGAACGGCUAAAAAUAAAAAUCUCAUAAAAAAUGAUGAUAAAAGAUUUAAAUUCAAGAUCAGAUAUACUGAUCUUACUCUAAAUAGUGAAAAAAAUUUUCUAUAAAAUUUUCAUCGGAUUUGAAUUGUUUUACACUGUUAAACUCACAAACACACCACAUCAGCCAUUAAAAUUGUCAAUUUUGAGAUCUGUUGAUCACUAGUCAAAUGAUGUCGAAAAAUUAUAAAAUUUAGUUUCCAAAUACUUUUAAUAGUAUAGAUCAAGUCUAACGGAGCCGAUCGUCGAUUUGGAAGCCGCAUCAUCAAAAACAACUUGGUAGCACGGGAGGCCCCGUGCUACAGGU